CGCAGGUCCAACCCAAGUCACAUCAUCUUUUGCCUGACUGUUGCCUGAAUAACUCCUGCCUCUCUUCAAUCCACUCUCCAUGUGGUAGCCAGGGAGCUUCCAAGCCACCAGGGACCACUGAUUUCCAGAAGCCCCUGGUCCUCCUGAGAGAAUGAGGAGCAAAUCCAAGCACUGGGCAGACCCUGCAAGAGUGCCGCGCCUUCACCCUUCUCUGCAUAUCCUGGGCUCAGGGACCCGGGGGGAGUUGGCAGUGGCUAACAAGUUCCGUUCCAUCUGCUGCUUCUGGCAGAGUGGACCUGGAACCUGGGGCCCUUCUCUAGGUCUCCCCGAGCCAAACUAUCAAAUGAAUGACAGCUAAGAUUCUAUCGAUUUCCCACCGUCUGGUUCUUUUCUUUCCCUGUGACAUUUUUACACUCUGCAUUUUAGUUUGGGUUUGCAGAAUUUCACAAGAUUCUUGUUCGAUUUCCUUCCUCAAAGCACUUUAUUGUGAUUGUAACAUUAAAAACAGAGAAACAAACCACGUCCAUGAGUUUUUUUAAGACAGGCCUGAAAGCCUUGGAGCCUGCUGUGUCACACUACACGCUGUUUCAUCUUCUACUCUCCUCACUCUGAUUCUUCUAAGGCCAAACUUUCUCACUGCUGCUGCCAACCCUGCGUUAGUGAGACUCAAUGAGAUGGUUUUUCCUCUGCCCCCCACGCCUAUACAGUGUAAAGGGGCCAUCCUGGAUGGUGUCCAGCUAGGAAAGCCCAGCCUCUGCUCUCUAUUGCUGUCAGAAGAUUCUAGAAUCACAGGGGCUUGGGUUCGAGUCUUGAUUAUACCUUACCAGCCAUGUGACUUUUUGUGACAACUUCUCUGAGUCCAGCCAGCUUCUUUAUUUAUUAAAAAAUGUAUCUCUCUCAUAGGGAUUUUUUGAAAAGUAAAUGAGAUAAAUAUGGAAUGCCUGGCACAUAUUACACUCUUAAUAAACUUUUGUCCUCCUCAAACUGUCUCUCACUAUGGAGGUGAUUUUGCCUUGGCCAGCAGGCUGGAGGCCUUCUGGGGAAGCAUUGAAAGCAAGAACUUGU
Molecule: long non-coding RNA, 1065 nt
Filed under: Homo sapiens (human)
Lineage: Eukaryota; Metazoa; Chordata; Mammalia; Primates; Hominidae
Description: HSALNT0029593
Source: RNAcentral